GACGAACGCUGGCGGCGUGCUUAACACAUGCAAGUCGAACGGAAAGGCCCCUUUGGGGGUACUCGAGUGGCGAACGGGUGAGUAACACGUGAGUAACCUGCCCUUGACUUCGGGAUAACUUCAGGAAACUGGGGCUAAUACCGGAUAGGAAUCCUUGCUGCAUGGUGGGGGUUGGAAAGCUUCGGCGGUUUUGGAUGGACUCGCGGCUUAUCAGCUUGUUGGUGGGGUAGUGGCUUACCAAGGCUUUGACGGGUAGCCGGCCUGAGAGGGCGACCGGCCACAUUGGGACUGAGAUACGGCCCAGACUCCUACGGGAGGCAGCAGUGGGGAAUAUUGCACAAUGGGCGGAAGCCUGAUGCAGCAACACCGCGUGCGGGUUGACGGCCUUCGGGUUGUAAACCGCUUUCAGCAGGGGCGAAGCUUGUGGUGACGGUACCUGCAGAAGAAGCACCGGCUAACUACGUG
Molecule: ribosomal RNA, 465 nt
Filed under: uncultured bacterium
Lineage: Bacteria
Description: partial 16S ribosomal RNA
Rfam family: Bacterial small subunit ribosomal RNA
Source: RNAcentral